Molecule: ribosomal RNA, 322 nt
Filed under: uncultured Euglyphida
Lineage: Eukaryota; Cercozoa; Imbricatea; Euglyphida
Description: SSU rRNA
Rfam family: Eukaryotic small subunit ribosomal RNA (bases 103-322)
Source: RNAcentral
GAUUUCUGGCAAGCCCGAACUUCCCGGUUCCUUCUGGAACUGUGUGUUGUCCAUGGGUCUGCCAUCCUUCCAGAAAACUGUGUCUACCGCUCUGCGGCCGGGUGCUGUGAUCUGGAUCUUUUACUUUGAAAAAAUUAGAGUGUUCCAAGCAGGCAUUUGCUUUGAAUACAUUAGCAUGGAAUAAUAAUAUAGGGCUUUGGACCUAUUUUGUUGGUUUCUAGGACUGAAGUAAUGAUUGAUAGGGAUAGUUGGGGGUGCUAGUAUUCAGCGGCCAGAGGUGAAAUUCUUGGAUUCGCUGAAGACUAACUACUGCGAAAGCAUU